UACAGAGGGGGCAAGCGUUACUCGGAAUUACUGGGCGUAAAGCGUGCGUAGGCGGUUUGUUAAGUCCGCUGUGAAAGCCCUGGGCUCAACCUGGGAAUUGCAGUGGAUACUGGCAAGCUAGAGUGCGGUAGAGGAUGGUGGAAUUCCCGGUGUAGCAGUGAAAUGCGUAGAGAUCGGGAGGAACAUCUGUGGCGAAGGCGGCCAUCUGGACCAGCACUGACACUGAGGCACGAAAGCGUGGGGAGCAAACAGG
This 253-nucleotide ribosomal RNA is filed under the name uncultured bacterium. RNAcentral's name for it is "partial 16S ribosomal RNA". It matches the Rfam family "Bacterial small subunit ribosomal RNA", at positions 524 to 776 of the family's 1533-position model. The record is from RNAcentral.